UNGUUGUGCUGGCAUGGGCAGCUGAGU
Molecule: non-coding RNA, 27 nt
Filed under: Mus musculus (house mouse)
Lineage: Eukaryota; Metazoa; Chordata; Mammalia; Rodentia; Muridae
Source: RNAcentral